UAUCGUUUAUUUGAUAGUACCUUACUACAUGGAUACCUGUGGUAAUUCUAGAGCUAAUACAUGCUAAAAACCCCGACUUCAGGAAGGGGUGUAUUUAUUAGAUAAAAAACCAACGCCCUUCGGGGCUCCUUGGUGAAUCAUAAUAACUUAACGAAUCGCAUGGCCUUGCGCCGGCGAUGGCUCAUUCAAAUUUCUGCCCUAUCAACUUUCGAUGGUAGGAUAGUGGCCUACCAUGGUGGCAACGGGUAACGGGGAAUUAGGGUUCGAUUCCGGAGAGGGAGCCUGAGAAACGGCUACCACA
This 301-nucleotide ribosomal RNA is filed under the name uncultured eukaryote. Its description in RNAcentral is "SSU rRNA". It matches the Rfam family "Eukaryotic small subunit ribosomal RNA", at positions 111 to 414 of the family's 1831-position model. The record is from RNAcentral.